Molecule: long non-coding RNA, 686 nt
Filed under: Setaria viridis
Lineage: Eukaryota; Viridiplantae; Streptophyta; Magnoliopsida; Poales; Poaceae
Description: long non-coding RNA (SVIR_LNC007728)
Source: RNAcentral
GUCUACUUAUUUGUUUGUGAGAGCCUUUGGUAGAGGAAGAGAGGGAGAGAGAGGAGAGAUCUUUGAUUUGAUCUUUUUUACCAUCCUAGCUUUGUUUGUGCUUAGGAUUGGCUCGUAACCGGACAUGGUGGAGUAAUCCAAGAAUCAAUUUUGUUCUCAAUUGCUUCUCCUUCUCAAGAUCUGAAAUUUAUUUUUUCCCUAUUUUUGGAGCAUUUUUGGGUGAAUUUUUUGAUCUCGCGAUUGGUAGUGUUUUGGGGUGUUUUUCUUGAAGCAAAUUGGUGCUAGGACAUGUGCAAGAACAUCUAGGAUUAUCCCCUAGCAAACCCAUGCACAAGCACCUCAGUUUUUGAGAUUUCCCGAAAAUUCCCUUAUUGUGCCCUUCUCUAAAUCCAUGGAAUCUUAUGACUAAUUCAUGAGCUUUUCAAGUUGAAACUUGGGGAAUACCUUUAGUAUGUUGUUGUGAGUCUAUGGUUCAAAUUUUGUGAUUUUUAGAGGUGGUUUGAUCGAGUUUCAGAUUUUCUUCCCUCCUCACAAAGGCUGGUUUUUGGGAUUUCGGAAUAUUUUGGAAAUUUCCGGACCUGUAGAAGUUUCCGAAGGUUUUUCCAGAAAUCUCCGAAAAUCCAAAAGUUUCCGAAGGUUUGUCCUGAUUUUUAUGAACUGUGGUGUUGGUUUUAAAAGUUCUUCUU